GCUUGCUUACCUUGCUCCCCUGCUUAACUGGAUAAAUUUGUUUUGGUUUAAUAAAUCUUCAGGUUGGAUUUUAAAAAAAUACAAUGAAAAAGAAUGGCUCAUGUGAAUGUGUGUCCAGGAGAUGUAUCCUUGGAAUCGGAUACCUUCCAGGAGCCUGACCUCUAUCUCAAGGUCUCUCCUUUGCAAGAAUAUGUUGAAUUUGUAGCAUCAUUUCCCCCCCCCCCCAAUAAAAGUCUGCCCAUUGGUUAGGAAAUGGCCUCUGAAUGGAAUAGAAUUGUAUAUGAAAAAAAUGAAUAGAGAGAAUUCAGAGAAACCUGGGAAAACAUGAAUUAGUACAGAGCAAAAUACAUUGAACUUGUAUUAACAGGUUAAUACAUUUAUUUUAUUUUAAGAUCUACAAAGUGCCUUAUAUAGACUCAUUGAUCAGUCCCAUUUUAUUUCUUAUUCCUGAUUUCUCCUCUUUCCCCAUAAAACCCAGUCAGAAAUACCCUUUCCUUUUACCCUUUUUAGGGGGGCCAAACAUACCCUAUCACCAGAAUGAGUUCUUUUAUCUUAUCUGCCAUUCAGACUCUUGAGCUAAGCCCAGCUGCUACUACCUCUAUGAAGCCCUUGCCCAUCCUAUCUAUUCCCAAAGUCCCUAGUGCUCUUUCCCUCCUAAAGUCACUUUGUAUUUCUUUUUUGUAAAUUCAUAUUUUCCAUGUUAUGUCACCUACUAGUGCACAAGCUCCUUCAGAUAAGGACAGUUGCUUUUAUCUCUAAUUCCCAAUGCCUACCUGGCACACUGUCUUAAAUAUCAUAGGAGAUCCAAUACCUGGGGUCAGGAAGACAUGGAUUCAGAUGCAGACUCAGACACUUCUCUGUGUGACUCCAGCCAAGUCAGGUAACCUCUUUCUGUCUGUUUCUUCAAAUGGAAAUAAUGAUAGUCUCUAUUUCUCAAGGUCAUUAUAGAAUAAAAUGAGAUAUUAAAGUAUUUUACAAAAGUUAAGGCUUUCUAUAUAAAUGCUAGUAGUUAUUGUUAGCCUUUAAUAUUUUGUUCAAUUGACUGGUUAAAUUAUUCUCAAACAGCUUUUGUCAGAUGUGUAAGAGUGAGCAAUAAUUUCAAAAUGGAGUCGUCUGACCCCAUUUGGGGUUUUCUUGGCAAAUAUACUAGAGUGGCUUGUCAUUUCUUCUCCAGCUCCUUUUACAGAGGAGGAAACUGAGGCAGAGUCAGAUGACUUCCUCAGAGUCACACAGCUAGUGAGCCACUAAGGCCAGAUUUUAACUCAGGAAGAUAAGUUUUUCUGACUCCAGACCUGGCACUCUGUCCACCACACCAGUCCCUCAAAAAUGGAAUAAUAAAUUAUUAAUUUCUUAGGAAUAGAAAGGAGGGUGGGGAGGGGACAGACAGCGAGGGUUACUGAGACCCUUCUCAAAAUUAGUAUUUUUGUUCAUUCGUAGUUACUGAGGUUACCAAGCUUCAUUUAAAUGAGUGACUUUCAGACUUAAUACUGCUUAUUUUAAAAAUUACUUUUCGUCAGAUAAUUUUAAGAAAAUUUAGGAGAGGAGUGAUUUUUGGAGAAGGACCUGCCCGAAGAGCUUCCCCACCCCUCACCCCCGACCCUGUGGGAGGCUAUGAUUAGGUGGAGGGCCAGAGGAGAUGGACCAGGAAUGCUGCUAAGGAGGUGGGAAGUCACGAGCUUCCUCAGCUCCGAAGGUUCGCCUUGGUCACUCCCAUCUUUAAUUGUUGGUCCAUCCAGAAUAUCCUCCUGGGCAAUCCGUCUUUUUGCAGAGACCUGAGAUAGUGCCUUCCGUAACAAACUGCAGCCAGCAGCAAAACCAAACCCCCACAUUCUUUACCCAGAUCCCAGAAUUUGGAGUCAAAUCUAGGUACAGUUCUCCGGCCUGGAUUGCACUUGGGCUCGCUGCAGAUCCCCUCGUGGAAAGAAACCCAAUUCGAAUGUUAAAGUGAAAUGUUUUCGUGAUUUUUCACAAGUGUCUGGAAGGUCCUGGAGCUUUCGGAGAUCAUGAAGAAAAGGAUGGUCUCUUCUGUCCAGAGCCAGAACUCGCUCCCGCAUGACUGGAAAGAUUUAAGAGGAAAGAUUCCGUGACAAGUGCUGUCCUCUGACCAGUGCAUCCGAGGACACUCUAUCCCCUGGCGUACUACAAGGAGCAUUUGGACCAAGGCAGGGAUUGGGAACCUUUCUGGGGCCAUGGACCUUUUUGUAAGCCUAGGGACAGAAUAAUGGCUAAGUUAGGAUCACCAAGAAAGCAAUUCUAUUGAAAUACACUUGGCAAAAUAUUCAGAGAGGUUGAAGAUUUGCAAAGUGUGAAUCUUAUUUUAUCUUCCACUGUUCCUGGGAAACAGAUAUUAUCGUUCUUAUUUUACAAAGGAGGAAACUGAGGCAGGCAGAUUGGGUCACCUAGGGUGGCUGGUUGCUGUCCUCGAAGAAGACCAAAAUGACACGACUGUCAGAGUCGUUUUCGGUGUGUCGGGCUACAGUUGAUCAGACCAGCACAAGCUGGGAAUACUGGCCACAACCGUCCUUAUAAACAUUUGGGGAGGACUCUCUAGUUUUGUGCAUCUCACAUUUUCUUCUGGGCUAAUUCAAUCCUGCUGUGCUCCUGGAGGAGGGCACGCCAUGCCGGGCGGUCCUGGCCAGGGUAUCCUAUGUCAUACGAUCGAUUCUAAAGUUCUUAAAAAGACCUUGAGUGAGUCCUUAUAGGGUUUGCCCUCCAACCCUUUGCUUUCCCAGGGCCUAUCUGGCUGUCUUGCAAUGAACUUUUAGGCCCCGAUUCCCCCAGAUUGUGUGUGAUCUCUGAAAGUUGGGACUGCCGGCUUCUUCUCGGGGCUGGUGCUGAGCACAGCUCACACCCAGGAAGGGCUUAAAGCUCCCCUGCACCCAUUCCCCGAUUCCCCCGGGCCCGAUGAUGACCGAAGUUCUGUCUGGAUUUGUGGUCCUGUGAAUGUGCUGUGGGGGAAGUCUAAACACACUGGCGGCCUGCCCAAGUGGGGGAGCUGCCCCGGAGGGUCGGGCUGGCCCGCUGCCCACUGCCCCCUAACGUUACCGAGGCUCCUGGGACCACAGGGCCAAAGUUCCCGGCCUACCGCGGGCCUCGGCCCUGGAGCCCUGCCCGGGAGGGUAUCUGGGGAGGCUAGACAAGGAGAAUUCCAAGCAUGCUCUCAGCCGUUCCCUCCGUGAUCUGAUCCUGCCGCCCCGGCUCUGGCCCCACUCUGGCCCAGCUCUGGCCCCGGCCUCUUCCCGGCCCUUGACUCUCCUCGCAUAAAUUUCUGGAAAAGGGAAGGAAUUGGGAAGAAAAACAGAGCCGAGAACUCCAGAAAAGACCCGACUUCUGCUUGAAAUGACGGACAGCUAGUCUGCUUAUCUUGAAAUGCAAAUAAUAAUGGAAAUCGAUUUCAGGCUUUACAGUCUUAGAACCGCAGCCUGGGAAGGAACUUUGGAAGCUCUAGGGCUGACCCAGACCUGCCCAAGAUCCCCUCUGAUCCCCAUCGGGGCUGGGCCAGCCUUUGUCUGAACUCAUUCCCAUUCCACUUUUCCACAACCCUUUAUCUGCUAGUAAUAAUAAUAAUACAUUUACUCAGACAAUGCUUACUGUGCGCCAGACACGUACUAAGCGCUUUACAAGUGACUCAUCUGGUCCUUGCAAAGCUGUCAUUAUCCCCAUUUCACAGCUGAGGAAACUAAGGUAAACAGAUGAUAGUGACUUGCCCAGAGUCUCCUAGCUAGCAAGUGUUCUGAGGCUGGGGCUGAUUCCGGCAUUCCACCACCCAACUGUCUCUGUGGCUCCCAGCUCUGGCCUCUAGAACAGACCGAAGCCUGUUUCUGUUUGUAUCCCACCCCUCUCAGAACCCUGAGGGCAGCAGUCUCACUUAUUUCAUCCUGAUCCUCAGGCUCAUGGACCCCCCCCCCCCAGGUGAGUCACUUUCAGGUACAAGCCCCCUCCCCACUUCUAUAAAACAAGUGCUCAACUUGAGUGACAGUUGGAACUCCUCCAUAGGCUGGCUACCGGCCCCCAGCUUUUGAACGCUGAAAUGCACUAUGAUUUUAUUGGGACCUCUGGAAAGAUAUUGAGAGAGAGGACAAAGGCCCUUCCCUCCUCCCUCCUUUAUUCCUAAUUAGCCUUAGGACAGCACUAGCAAUAAGUAAGAAAGCUUUUCAGGUCAUAAUCAGUUUAAAAACCACUUAAGUUCUCAGUUUUGUUUGUGUUUUGCUGAAGCAAUUAGGGAUAAGUGACUUGCCCAGGGUCACACAGCUAGGACGUGUUAAGUGUCUGAGAUCUGAUUUGAACUCAGGACCUCCCAGCUUCAGGGCUGGUGCUCUAUCCACUGCCCCACCCAGCUGCCCCAAGUUCUCCGUUUUUACAGAACCUUUGGCAGGGACUGGAGAAAGAGGCACAAGAGGUAGCAGAGGUUACAGAAUAUGCGCUCAGGGAACAGAGACAAAGGCCAAAUGGUUGUUCCCGGCUUGUUGGCUCAGGAAACUAGAACUGGAGCAGACCUUUAGGGGACGGGCAGGGUAGGCUCAAGUGGAACGGAGCAAACUCAAGAGGACCGCGUUGGGGGAGUGGCGCUGGCCAAGGAAAAGUGCAGAAUGUGUUGGGAGAAUGACCGGUCCAGUUUGAGUGAAUUCUCUCGAGAGUUCCUGGAGGAAAACACCAGGAGAGACCCCGCUAACCCUGAGAGAACAGCCCGGACUCCGGCAGUGCUGAUGCUGCCCUCUCCUACAAUCGGGCAGGGAAGACAAAAGUCAGACUGGACAGCGAUUGCAAUCAAAAUUACAAGCUCCCCUUGCUCCUUCCCACAGUCCCUUAGGGAGCAGUCCGGGGUGGGGGUGGGGGGGCGUGGAGGGGGUCUUUCCUGGUCAGAAGAGUAGCGAUGGCCCCCCCUCCAAAAACUAUUCCCCCAAAGGCUGACCGCUGCACCAGCUUGGCAGCUGGGGUGAAUGGGGCAGGGGGGGCGUCACUCGGACAAUUUCCCAAAGUCUACCUGACUUGGGCUGCCUGUGGAUGGACUCCUCGCCCUCCCCUGUUUUAUAAUCUUGUUUUCCACAAAGUUAAUUUUCCACCGGCUGCCUGCGGCCUUAGGGGUACUACUUCCUUAUCCAGAUUCCGCGUAAACAACAGGAACUUAGUGGGGGUCCUGCCGGGGCCUGGCCAGACCUCCUCGGUCAGGAAUAACAUGGGACAAAUAAGGGGAGCACCAGGCCGGGAGAUCUCAGGGGGUCUGGCCGUGGGAUUGAGGCUUCUGGGGAGCCACAAGGAAAUGUGACUGUCGACAGAAACGGGAUUAGAUCCGUGCAUGAGGAUGAUUGGUCUGACCCUUGUGGAGAGGGCACAUUGGAGAAAGGGAAGGGCCCAUGGGUAGGGAAGAAAGGUUGAAACUGCUGAUUAGAUAGGAGGAGUGUGGGACAGGGAAGUUAUGAAGAGAAUACACAGGAACCAAAGGGAAUGAAUGCGGGAUGUCCCUGAGCCCAACAGUCCCUUGGGAAGGAAGAGGAGGCCGGGGAAGCAGAAGAAGGAGGGACUCACACCGGGACAUGCCGUGUUUCAGGCAGAACUGGGCCAGUCAGAUGGAGGUAUUCUCCAGCAGUCGGAGACAGGUCUUCCGGAGGUUGGAAAAGAUGUUAUGUCUGGGGACAGAUCAUUUGCAGAGGUGACAGCUGAAUGGGCAGGUGUGAAUGAGCUUGAUGAGGGAGUGGAAAGUGGCAAAGAGAAAGACAGACAGACGCAGCGACCUAGAGAGACAGUUCAAGAUAAAGACAGAGAGGGACAGAGACAGAAAAAGACAGAGAGACUAAAACUGGGACAGAGACAGAGAGACAAAAAAGGCGAGAGGGACAGAGAAGGACAGCGACUGACACAGAAAGUGAGAGAGAAAUAGAGACAGAGAAACAGAAAAAAAUAGAGACUGAAACUGGGACCGAGAGACAGACAAAAAGUCAAGAGGGACGAAGACAGACAGACAUAUGCACACAAAGAGACAGAAAAAGUCACAGAUGGACACAGAGAGACUGAAACUGGGAUGGAGACGCAGAGAGACAAGAACAGAGACAGAUACACACGCACAAACACAGAGAUAGAAAGUGAGAGAGAAAUAGAGAUAGAGACAGAAAAAGACAGAGACUGAAACUGGGACUGAGAUAGACAAAAACAGACAAGAGGGACAGAGACAGAUAUACGCGUAAAAGCUGUGACACACAGAGAGAAAUAGAGACAGAGACAGAAAGAGAGAGAGAGAAAGGCAGAGACAGAGACUGAAACUGGGACGGAGACAGAGAGAUAAAAACAGACAAGAGAGAGGGACAGAGACAGACAUAGAGAUAGACUGAGACAAAGAGAAAUAAAAACAGAGACAGAGAAAGAUACACAUAGAGACAGUAAAGGAUAGAGAGACAGAGAGAGACUGAAACUGGGACAGAAACCCAAAGAGACAGACAAAAACAGAGACAAGAGAGAUAGAGAGGGACAGAGAGACAGACAUACUCACACAGACACAGCCUGAAACAAAGACAAAUAGACACAGAGAAAGAGAAAGAUACACAUAGAGACAGAGUCAGACACACACAGAGAGACAGAAAGUGAGAAAGAGACAAAGAGAAAAAGACAGACAGACAGACAGCUCGUGAGAAGCAAAGGGAACCCUGAACACUCAGUGAUGAUGUAAAAAAAAAAAAAAAUAGUGGGUCUCUGAGGCCAGGGGAAAGAUGGAGGAGGGAUGAUCAGUCUGGGAAUCUUGGACUUCUUAGCUAUUUCAUCUCAUGAAGAAAGGUGACCCAGAGAAUAUUGUAGUUAACACAAUGUGGCUCUGACUGUGGUUCCUGGAGCUCAAGUCUCCCAGGCUCAGUGGAUCAUGGCACCGGAGCUGAAGGGGACCCCAGAAUCCGACUCCUUCAUUUGACUGAGGAGAAACUGAGGCACAGAGAGGAAUCUCACAAGAGAGCUGAGCUGUGACCCCCAGUUCCCCAACCCCGAUCGCACACGCUGCCUCUUUGGGGUCCGCACCUACCCGCCUGGGUUGUGUUUUAUUUAAACAGGGCCAGGGGAUGGACAAGUUGUUCCUUCCCUGGAGUCCAGGGUGCGCGCUGCAUUUCCACAAUGGACGCCUUCUGCCCUCUCGUGGCCAACUUCGGGAGCUCCUCCUGCAGCUUCGAAGGGUUUCUGCUCCAAGCACUUGGUAUGGAAGGGAAGCAAAGGCUCCUCUCUGGAGCGGGAGGUCUCAAUUUCCCAUCGCUUGCUCGGCCUUUCACUGGCAGCCACGGAACUCAAGGGAAGCCAAAGAAGCCUCUGCUUGGGCCCGGGAUGUGUCCGCCUUCCCCCUUCCCCUCCAGCUCUCUUACCUUUAUGGGACAACGUGGACCAGACUUACGCAGGAUGGAGGGCGUGGAAGGGCUGCAAUCUGCUGUAGAAGGGAAUGUCUGCAUUGUAGAAGUGACAGAUCGUUAGAGUAGAAAGGAAAACUAUUCAUAGUGAGGUCCAGAGAACAGCGGCUCAGGUCGAAUAAUGGAACAUUUUCAGGGGAUGUAUGAUCUAACACUCCAACACAAAAAACAUUAGAUCUGACUCGUGAUAUAGCAUCCUUGUCUCCGUUUCCUCAUGUGUAAGAUGAGGAUCUUGUUCUACAUCACAUAUUCCCGUCCACUUCUGAAAUUCUUUGACUCAUAUUCUCUCUGGAUACUGAUUGCUUUUUUGUGUAACCUGUGGUCUAGAACCAAAGUUCUAGGUUUAAACCGUUUACGUUUAUGGAGGGCUUCUCUCCGGCUUAUGUUCUUGGACAGGAUUUUCCUUGGAAACAUCAGAAUUUGGCUUGUUUCUAGACAUCCACAACAAAAAGAAAGUGGGACUUCAGUUCCCUUGUAAGCACUCAGGUGACCAUAGCAAUGUAGGGGAGGCCUUAUUAUUUAACAGAGAGAAAACACCAUGUUUUGUCCUGGAGCUCGGAACAGCCAGCAAGAGCGACACUAAGAAAUCUCCAUUCCUCUACAUCUUCCUGCUCUGAGGCAAGGUUUGCUCCUCCAAGCUGGGGCUCUCCUUGCAGCCAGGUUGCGUUCCGUUCCCUCUUGGGCCUGAGGCUUUGCGGUGGCCAGAUCACUGUGUAAGCUUUUCCCGAGGGAGCCGAGGUCCCUUGUGUCUGACUGACUUACCCUGUUAGGUCUCUCAGCCCCGAUGUUCCCUCCAUUUGGCCUCCCCACCCUCCCUUUAGAGGGCAAAUCCAAGGGUGUAGCCCGAGUGGUGAAGCAAUGAAUCAUCUUCCACUGUGGUAUCAACAGCGCUCUUGGGACCAGGUCAGGAAUUCAUACUUUAUCAGGGAGUUGACCUUGUCUAAUAAUUCCAUUCUGGUUUUUUCUUUUUAUUAAUUUCAUUUCAUUUGUGAAUCUUUCUUUAUCACUCACAUUUCUCAGUGUUUCUUUCUCUCCCCCUUUCCAAUUUCUUCAGUCUUUUUUCAGUCGAAUCUUCCCAGUUCUUUCAACCAAUUCUCAUCCUUGUUGUUCAGUCCUUUUGUAGUUGUAUCUGUCUAUGACCCCAUUUGAGGUUCUUUUGGCAAAGAUACUAAAGUGGCCUGCCAUUUGCUCAUUUUACAGGUGAGAAAACUGAGGCAAACAGGAUUAAAGGACUUGUCCAGGGUCAUGCCUCAGUUGUAUGAUUUGAACCUAGGAAGAUGAGUCUUCCUGAUUCUCGAUGCCCUUUCCACUAUGGUUCUCCCUCGCUGCCCACUCUCAUGUGACAUACCUAAAAAACCCCCGCGCAGCUGCCCCUCUGCAGGUGGUCACACUCAUACUCUCUUGGUAGUCACUCUGGAAAGCAAUUUGAUGUGGCCCAAUGUUAUAGGCUGUCAAGACCUUUCGAUCCUGCACACACAGUCACUCACACUCACACUCACUCUCACAUACACACAUUCAUACACAUUCAUGCUCACACACACUCACACACACUUACACACACAUGCACACACACUCAUACACACACACACACUUACACACACACAUGCUGACUCACACACAGUCCCAUUCACACACACUCGGCUCCCUUUCAUGGAUUAUCUUUUCCCAUUAGAACAUAAGCUCCUCGAGGACAAGUGCUGCCCACUUUUUUGCUCGUACUUCUAUCUUCAGAGCUUAGAACACAAGCCCAUAAUUUGUGCCCUCCCUGCUCUUCGUUGACAAGCAUUGUUUAGGUGCUUAAAAUUUCUCUUCUAUUUGUUUUGCAGAACUGAGAACUUGCCAUUUUUCCUCACUGACCAGGCUGGUCCUUCUGGCCUACUUAGGGGCUGUUGGCCUCCGCGGCAGGUUUGGAGGCCGUGUGGAAAAGGAUCUUUGGAACACCAGCUUUCCAGGCUGUCUUCCAAGGGGGACAGGAGUCCUAUUUCCUCUCUCUGGCCGUUGAACAAUGAGUUAGUUAACGGUAACUUGUGCAGAGCCUGCCCCUGCAAAGGUGGGGAGAGCUUGUUGACCGGCCCCCUUGGGAUGCUGACAGGGUGGCCCAUUUCCCCAGCUCCAGGGCCCUCCGAGCUGUCCUUUGCAGGGCUUUGUGCUGUGAGUUCAUGCGGCCGUGGUCAGCGACUGGCCUGAGCGGACGCAGAAUGUGCUUUGGGGGCGGAGGAGGAUCUGGCGGCCGGAGGCAUUGUCCCAGGAGGCUCGAGUCUGGCCCGGUACUUGGACUCUUGGACAAAUCCUUUGCUUCAUGUUGGAUGCCCAGCCUAGGCAUGAGACAGUGCAGGUCAGCCCUUCUCUCUAUAUAGUCUUGGGCAGUGAGAAGGUUUUCCUGGCUGCAUUUAGGCUCACUUCCCCCUUUUGGGCCUCCUCUGGGGCCACUCUGCCCACAUGCUUCUCCCUGGCAUGGGGUAAGAGAGGGUCUGUCUGGCAUUCAUACCCCCCCACACCCGGAUGAGAGCUGGGGUGGCUGGUCUGGAAGCACGUCAGAGGGGAGGGCCACCUCCUAUGACCCUCCCUAGGGGACUAUGGGAUUAUGAGGCCCAAAGAGAUGCCGCAUUAGGUGCUCAGAGCUUGCCAUAUUUAGCCCCACAAACCUCUUUUUUGGUUACUGACUUGUCUUUCUCGAACAGUGGCCAUCCCCCAGCCUGUUCUC
Long non-coding RNA from Sarcophilus harrisii (Tasmanian devil), 10080 nucleotides. NCBI's taxonomy places the organism in Eukaryota, Metazoa, Chordata, Mammalia, Dasyuromorphia, Dasyuridae. The record is from Ensembl.